GAGUUUGAUCAUGGCUCAGGAUGAACGCUGGCGGCGUGCCUAACACAUGCAAGUCGAACGGAGAGCAUAAACGGAAGUUUUCGGAUGGAAGUUUAUGUUCUUAGUGGCGGACGGGUGAGUAACGCGUGGGCAACCUGCCUCAUACAGGGGGAUAACAGACGGAAACGUCUGCUAAGACCGCAUAAGUCGUCUUUGUCGCAUGACAGAGACGGGAAAAGAGCAAUCUGGUAUGAGAUGGGCCCGCGUCCGAUUAGCUAGUUGGUAAGGUAAAAGCUUACCAAGGCGACGAUCGGUAGCCGGCCUGAGAGGUCGGACGGCCACAUUGGGACUGAGACACGGCCCAAACUCCUAUCGGGAGGCAGCACGUGGGGGAUAUUGCAUCAAUGGAGGAAAGCUCUGAUGCAAGCGACCGC
RNAcentral lists this ribosomal RNA (413 nucleotides) under Catonella sp. canine oral taxon 257. RNAcentral's name for it is "bacterial SSU rRNA". It matches the Rfam family "Bacterial small subunit ribosomal RNA", at positions 9 to 397 of the family's 1533-position model. The record is from RNAcentral. Lineage: Bacteria; Bacillati; Bacillota; Clostridia; Lachnospirales; Lachnospiraceae.